Molecule: long non-coding RNA, 250 nt
Organism: Rosa chinensis
Lineage: Eukaryota; Viridiplantae; Streptophyta; Magnoliopsida; Rosales; Rosaceae
Exons: 3
Source: RefSeq, a predicted model, not a curated record
AUUAUUGUGGGUUUCAGUGUUUCAGUCACCUCUCAAUUGUCCGAGUUGCGUCGACCUUAUUUCUCCUAUUGGAAGAGAAGCAACAAAGAAAAGGAAGCUUCGUGUGUGAACCCAAGCACAAUCUACUGGUCUAGAUUUUGAUAAUCUGAGAGCUUUGGACACUAGCAACGAAUUCGAAGCUUUGGCACUGAAUUUUGGUUGUGAUUCAGUGCAAUAUCCAUGUAUAAUGCACACAAGGGCAGAAAAGGCC